Molecule: non-coding RNA, 72 nt
Organism: Phrynosoma platyrhinos (Desert horned lizard)
Lineage: Eukaryota; Metazoa; Chordata; Lepidosauria; Squamata; Phrynosomatidae
Source: the annotation of a GenBank genome assembly
GGCAGUGUUGUUUAGUGGUUUGAGCACUGGACUAUGACUCUGGAGACCUGGGUUCGAAGCCUGGCUUGGUCA